CGGCAUGCCUAACACAUGCAAGUCGAACGAGACCUUCGGGUCUAGUGGCGCACGGGUGCGUAACACGUGGGAAUUUGCCUCGGGGUAUGGAAUAACUCAGGGAAACUUGAGCUAAUACCAUAUAAUGUCUUCGGACCAAAGAUUUAUCGCCCUGAGAUAAGCCCGCGUAGGAUUAGCUAGUUGGUGAGGUAAAGGCUCACCAAGGCGACGANCCUUAGCUGGUCUGAGAGGAUGAUCAGCCACACUGGGACUGAGACACGGCCCAGACUCCUACGGGAGGCAGCAGUGGGGGAAUAUUGGACAAUGGGCGAAAGCCUGAUCCAGCAAUGCCGCGUGAGUGAUGAAGGCCUUCGGGUUGUAAAGCUCUUUUACUCGGGACGAUAAUGACGGUACCGAGAGAAUAAGCCCCGGCUAACUCCGUG
This 422-nucleotide ribosomal RNA is filed under the name uncultured bacterium. RNAcentral describes it as "bacterial SSU rRNA". It matches the Rfam family "Bacterial small subunit ribosomal RNA", at positions 40 to 507 of the family's 1533-position model. The record is from RNAcentral.